This 467-nucleotide ribosomal RNA is filed under the name uncultured bacterium. RNAcentral describes it as "bacterial SSU rRNA". It matches the Rfam family "Bacterial small subunit ribosomal RNA", at positions 355 to 825 of the family's 1533-position model. The record is from RNAcentral.
UAAGGAAUAUUGGUCAAUGCCCGGAAGGGUGGACCAGCCAUCCCGCGUGAAGGAUGAAGGGGCUCUGCCUUGUAAACUUCUUUUGAAUGGGACGAAAAAGCCUCACUUGUGAGGAACUGACGGUACCAUUAGAAUAAGCACCGGCUAACUCCGUGCCAGCAGCCGCGGUAAUACGGAGGGUGCGAGCGUUAUCCGGAAUCACUGGGUUUAAAGGGUGCGUAGGCGGCUGUAUAAGUCAGUGGUGAAAGGCUGUGGCUUAACCAUGGGAUUGCCAUUGAUACUGUACGGCUUGAAUUAGGAUGAGGUUGGCGGAAUGUGACAUGUAGCGGUGAAAUGCUUAGAUAUGUCAUGGAACAUCGAUUGCGAAGGCAGCUGACUGGACCUUAAUUGACGCUGAGGCACGAAAGCGUGGGGAGCGAACAGGAUUAGAUACCCCCGUAGUCCCUGAGCGGGCUGGCAAGGCGCAU